GGGACUAUAGUUAAUAAUAACAUUUGAGUUGCAUUCAAAAAGUACUACCUUUAAGUAGUUAGCCUCA
Molecule: transfer RNA, 67 nt
Filed under: Amitermes sp. ANIC 0620
Lineage: Eukaryota; Metazoa; Arthropoda; Insecta; Blattodea; Termitidae
Also listed under: 2 other names
Description: tRNA-Ala
Source: RNAcentral